Molecule: RNA transcript, 3375 nt
Organism: Mytilus trossulus (common blue mussel)
Lineage: Eukaryota; Metazoa; Mollusca; Bivalvia; Mytilida; Mytilidae
Gene name: myb-like protein J
Exons: 4
Source: RefSeq, a predicted model, not a curated record
UAGGACAAAAAGUCACAAAUAAUAUGUUGACAGUUGUUUGAAUAUAUCAAGGAUUUGUAUAGUCUAACUAUACAGGUCCUUGAAUAUAUGUAAGAGAAAUAUCUUUAAAUAUUUACUUUUUAAUACAUAUAUUCAUAUUCAUGUUUAGGAAAUGUGUCAUUAUACUUGAAAAAUGAAGAUUUAUUAAUUUUAUUCAUGCAAACGAUAUAUUUCAUGGUACCAUGAAGCCAUUUAAGUGCCAAGCCACUUUGACAUUUUGUUUUGAAUCAUAUUUGAUAUUUUUUUGAUAAAUUUGUUUACAAAGUCAGUUGCUUUAUUUACAAUAGUUCAAGAAAAAUUCUAAAAUAUUUUUGUAGGAAUAAGUGUUUUUAAUUCAAAUAAAAUACUUUUUGUCCUGUGACUUUUUUUCCAUGACUUUUUGUCUGUGCCAUAAUUUGUUCCCUUUUAUAGACCAAUGAACAUGAUAAACCAAACUUGAAAUAAAUAGUGAGAUAUCAAGAGAGAAGCUAGGUAAACAAUAAAUAUGUCUAUUUUGAGUAAGAAUGUAGAAAAUACUUUUCUUUUUUGGUAAAGGAGAAAAAAUAGACACAGGUUAGAUUGUAUAUCCCUUGAUGUCAACUAGGGCACCUGGAAAACAAAGCAAUUAACAAAAGAAUACAUACAAUAUCUUAAUUAACAUUUCAUUUUCUCAAAAUAUUUGUAUGGCUUCUAUUAAAUUUGGCAUUUAACAACACUGUCAUGAGCAUUGACCAAUCAUUAAAAAGAAAAAAAAAUGUUUUUAUAUUACACCAAUCGCUGAUAUUAAAAAUAUAUUAAUUAUUGAUUGGUUCAACCAGUCCUUUAUAGUCUGAGUACCUUAAUUUUUUUUUAAAUUAAUUAUUGUUCACACAAAAUUAAUGAUGGAUUCCCAACAGCAUAGUCAACAAUACCUAGCGCGUCAUCAACACUUCAACCAAACUGCAUCACCACAGAAUUUAUUCGUUCCUAGACCCUAUGUUCAGACUCCUCAACACUAUCAGACACCUACUCAGAUGUGUUAUUUGAACUGCAAAUGUUGUGCCAUGUUUUUGAUGACCAAAUGUGUAUGUUCAUGCAAUCAGCAGAAAGUCUCCAUUGCUACACAGACAGACCAGGUCCAGAAGAACUUUGUGAAAGAUGAUUACUUUAAGCCCAAAACCUCAGCUUACCAAUUAUUACAGGCAGAAAUUACUAGAACAGCUCAUAGUAAUAGGUUUCACAGCACAUCUGAUCAGGGUUUUGAGAUGGCCAUAUCAUCAAUUAUACAGUACCUAGGUGAUCUGCAAGACACCCCAACAACAAGAGAAAAAGUUAGAUACCGCCUUAAAAAGAGAAUGUACAACCAACAGGGUUAUGAAAAAAUAAAAAAUCUUGCACAAAUGAAUGGGGUGAGUGUAAAGAAAUGCCAAUCUGCAGCUGUGAAGCGUGGUCUACCGUUUAUAAAUGAGCCAGCAACAAAACAAACCAAAAACACAGAAAACUCACCUGUGUCAACUUCAGUUUCUCCUAUCAACACACCUAUUGUGUCUCCUGCUGCCACACCUAUUGUGUCUCCUGCUGCCACACCUAUUGUGUCUCCUGACGUCACACCUAUUGUGUCUCCUACCGUCACACCAAGUAUUUCUCCUGCCGUCACUCCUAUUAUUUCUCCAGCCGUCACACCUAUUGUCUCUCCUGCCAUCACACCAGUUGCUUCUCCGACUCCGUCUAGAUCUUCAUCAGUCACCAUGUCCUCAGGGUCACCAAAGAUAACCGAGAAGGUAUUCAAAACAGCUAAUGGUGUCAUGUUUAAGAUCAAAGAUGUUGUUUGUAUCGCAAAUUCAAAAACACACUGUGACUAUGCUGAAGUAAAAAAAGUCUGGAAGACCAAAGUGGACAUUCAUUAUUUGAAAAAAACUUCAAAGGGACUUUCAAGUUGGAUGCUUUCAUCAAAUGUAAAUUACAAAGACAGUGUCCACAUCAAUUCCAUUUUUUAUUCAUUAGGAAAGACAGAAUUUAGCCAAGAACACCACCAAGUCAUCAAAGAAAAACUAUCCAAACUUUUUUAGAAUUUAAAUAAUCAUAUUGUAUUGUUGAGAACGUAUAUAUAUAUAUAUAUGUGUAAUUUGUUAGUCCUCUACUAGAAAUGCCAAGGGAACAAAUCUGUCUGUCCAAUUUGUCCUCCUGAAAAGUCAAUUUACCAAUUUUUUUCAUCAUCCUUGACUAUUUUAUUUUAAUAUUUGGUAUAUAUAUAUAGGUUUAUUACUAAAAUUUACAUGUCGUGUCUAUAUUGUGUUCCAAUCAUUGAGAAGCUUAAUAUUCCUUUUACAACACAACGUAAUUAAAACGUAUAGCUUACUUUACAGAGUUAUCUCCCUUUAAUGUUAGGAACCACCUAAAUAGCAUUUUGUCUAGUAAUUAGACAUGUUAUUCAAUAUAUAUAGGAAUUUAUUUGUCAAAUACUGAUUUCAUGUUCACUAUUUUGAGGGGGGGGGGGGGAAUACACAAUUAGGAAGAGUUGGGUAUUGAUUUUUAUUUCAAAUAAUUGAAAUAAAGAGGAAUUAAGUGGAAACAGCUAAUUUUUCCUUGUGCAAUUUGUGUAAAACAUGUAUACGCUUUUAAAAUCUAUUUAUUUCAAUUGUUUUUAUGUUUAGCUUCUGAUAUAAUUUAGUUUUAAAAAAAAAUAAUCUUUUAUAUACUUUCGAAUGACCAAAGUCAAAUCGCCGAAAUUUUUAAAAGUGUCUAACAUGUCUCAUAACUGAAUGGAUUAGUACUUUUGCACCAUUUUUUGUAGUGAAUAAAACUGAUAAAUUUAAAUAAAUGCAGAAAAUAAUCUAUAAAUUAAAUUUCAUGUUUAGAUUAUUAACUGUUUAUUUUAAAGAAAGUUCUUUUUUAAAUAUGAAAUUGAAAAUAUAUUGUGAGGUAAACAUUUUUGUCAGUAUUUUAUAGGUGUGUGUGUUAAAUACACAAUAUGUUAUAGGUGUGUGUGUACAACACACAAUGUCAAAUCAUUUCUCUAUUCAUAAAUGAUCAUAAAUAUAUAUAUAUGUAUAUAAACUGAAAAUCAUUUCCAUUCUCUUCUUAUUCCCUUGUUGUGCUAAUUCUGGGUAAAGCAACCAACAACAAUUAAUUCAUUCUCUGUAAUAAAUAUCAUGUAUAUAUAUUCAUUUCAUAUAAAAACACAUACGUUUCAGCCAAUAUGUGUGUAUGAAUGUAUGUGUGUGUAUAUAAACAAUGUAUUCAAACUGAAUGUCAUUUCCAUUCUCUUCAAUAAAUAUCAUGUAUAUGUAUGUAUAUAUUUAAUAUAAAAACACAAUAUUCCGUACUUUCAGCCAAAAAGUGUGUAUGUAUGUGUGUGUGUAUAAUAUUUAAACAAUG